This 546-nucleotide ribosomal RNA is filed under the name Salmonella enterica subsp. enterica. RNAcentral's name for it is "partial 23S ribosomal RNA". It matches the Rfam family "Bacterial large subunit ribosomal RNA", at positions 689 to 1233 of the family's 2925-position model. RNAcentral also lists the same sequence under 1 other name. Lineage: Bacteria; Pseudomonadati; Pseudomonadota; Gammaproteobacteria; Enterobacterales; Enterobacteriaceae. The record is from RNAcentral.
CGGGCGUUAAGUUGCAGGGUAUAGACCCGAAACCCGGUGAUCUAGCCAUGGGCAGGUUGAAGGUUGGGUAACACUAACUGGAGGACCGAACCGACUAAUGUUGAAAAAUUAGCGGAUGACCUGUGGCUGGGGGUGAAAGGCCAAUCAAACCGGGAGAUAGCUGGUUCUCCCCGAAAGCUAUUUAGGUAGCGCCUCGUGAAUUCAUCUCCGGGGGUAGAGCACUGUUUCGGCUAGGGGGCCAUCCCGGCUUACCAACCCGAUGCAAACUGCGAAUACCGGAGAAUGUUAUCACGGGAGACACACGGCGGGUGCUAACGUCCGUCGUGAAGAGGGAAACAACCCAGACCGCCAGCUAAGGUCCCAAAGUCAUGGUUAAGUGGGAAACGAUGUGGGAAGGCCCAGACAGCCAGGAUGUUGGCUUAGAAGCAGCCAUCAUUUAAAGAAAGCGUAAUAGCUCACUGGUCGAGUCGGCCUGCGCGGAAGAUGUAACGGGGCUAAACCAUGCACCGAAGCUGCGGCAGCGACACUGUGUGUUGUUGGGUAGGG